ACAGUCUGAAAAAUCCCAGACGUGUCACAAAGGAUGAGCACAAAGCUGUGUGUCUGGUGCCAGUGCACUGCCAGCCCUCCCCUCCCCAACUCCGGUUUCUGGGUUGAACCUCAGGCCCACAGAGGGGAUGUAGGGACUGGGAAAGGGCAUGGGGCCUCUCUUGAUUCUUGAGGCUUCUAAAGUUCUGAUACAUUUGCUCAACUUGUCCCUCCACACAAGUCAUCAACGUGCCUACAGGGCAAACAAGCAGAGUCUAGCUCAAGAGGUUAGUUGUCUUUGCCCAAAACUAAAUGCAAAUCAUGUGGGGCUGGAGUUCUUUCUCGGACAGAGAUGGAAUCCCCACCAAGGAGUUCCUGACCAGAAUGAUGGUGAGAAGCCUCAGCUUCUAGUGUCUCUGGGAACAGCUGCUGUCUCUGAUCAUUUCAGAUGAGUGACCUACAGAGGAGUGAGGAUUCUUGGCAUGGUCUCACAGCUGGAAAGAAGAAUGCCCUACCUAUGGGAAACACAGGACGCCGUUGCUCCCGGGUGUUUUGUGUGUGAUCAAAGCAACUGAGGUAGGAACAGAAAGGAUAAGGUUCAAGAUGGAAUAUCACAAUAUCCAGAAAUGGUAUGAAAUUAGCAUAGCUGCAGGAAAGUUGAAAAAGCUAAAGUCCUCUCAGGAGGGGAAGUCAGGACAUGGUUUGCUAAAGCUUACUUAAUAACAAGGAGAAGAAACUCGCCAAGAAGAGGCCCUGGGUCAGACUGGCAGCCACGCACAGUAGAAGGUGACCCAUGUAGAUGGGUGAGCAGGAGUAUUUCCCACAGGAUUUAGACUUGACAACAUGGGCAGCUGGAAUAUGUGGAGUAAUUCUGUGUGGUGAAAGGAGCCCUGGUUGAGAGUCAAGAGACCUGGCUGGGAUCCAUGGUGCUGCUGCAAAGUGACCCCUACGACCUUGGGGGAAGUCACUGCACUUCAGAUCUCUGUUUCUUUAUCUACAAAACGCGGGGAUUACCAGCACUGUUUCAGUUCUGGAAUCCUAAUUCUGAAAUAAAUGUACUGCCGAGCAA
Molecule: non-coding RNA, 1047 nt
Organism: Ictidomys tridecemlineatus (thirteen-lined ground squirrel)
Lineage: Eukaryota; Metazoa; Chordata; Mammalia; Rodentia; Sciuridae
Source: RefSeq, a predicted model, not a curated record